RNAcentral lists this ribosomal RNA (786 nucleotides) under uncultured Alteromonas sp. Its description in RNAcentral is "bacterial SSU rRNA". It matches the Rfam family "Bacterial small subunit ribosomal RNA", at positions 8 to 790 of the family's 1533-position model. Lineage: Bacteria; Pseudomonadati; Pseudomonadota; Gammaproteobacteria; Alteromonadales; Alteromonadaceae. The record is from RNAcentral.
AGAGUUUGAUCCUGGCUCAGAUUGAACGCUGGCGGCAGGCCUAACACAUGCAAGUCGAACGGUAACAGGAUUAGCUUGCUAAUUGCUGACGAGUGGCGGACGGGUGAGUAAUGCUUGGGAACUUGCCUUUGCGAGGGGGAUAACAGUUGGAAACGACUGCUAAUACCGCAUAAUGUCUACGGACCAAACGGGGCUUUUAGCUCCGGCGCAAAGAGAGGCCCAAGUGAGAUUAGCUAGUUGGUAAGGUAACGGCUUACCAAGGCGACGAUCUCUAGCUGUUCUGAGAGGAAGAUCAGCCACACUGGGACUGAGACACGGCCCAGACUCCUACGGGAGGCAGCAGUGGGGAAUAUUGCACAAUGGGGGAAACCCUGAUGCAGCCAUGCCGCGUGUGUGAAGAAGGCCUUCGGGUUGUAAAGCACUUCCAGUUGUGAGGAAAAGUUAGUAGUUAAUACCUGCUAGCCGUGACGUUAACAACAGAAGAAGCACCGGCUAACUCCGUGCCAGCAGCCGCGGUAAUACGGAGGGUGCGAGCGUUAAUCGGAAUUACUGGGCGUAAAGCGCACGCAGGCGGUUUGUUAAGCUAGAUGUGAAAGCCCCGGGCUAAACCUGGGAUGGUCAUUUAGAACUGGCAGACUAGAGUCUUGGAGAGGGGAGUGGAAUUCCAGGUGUAGCGGUGAAAUGCGUAGAUAUCUGGAGGAACAUCAGUGGCGAAAGCGACUCCCUGGCCAAAGACUGACGCUCAUGUGCGAAAGUGUGGGUAGCGAACAGGAUUAGAUACCCUGG